Long non-coding RNA from Salvia splendens (bonfire salvia), 266 nucleotides. RefSeq lists it as uncharacterized. The record is from RefSeq and is a predicted model, not a curated record. The transcript is spliced from 3 exons. NCBI's taxonomy places the organism in Eukaryota, Viridiplantae, Streptophyta, Magnoliopsida, Lamiales, Lamiaceae.
UUGUUUACAAUGCUAACAAGAUCAAAACUUUGAAGGGUCGAAUGGAGGUACGUACUAGAACAGAGAAAACUGUUUCUCAUGCAUUGCGAUCUCCAUUCGCUGACAGACCGGUUAAGAUUACAAACAAGCUCAGUAAAGAUGAGAAGGAAUCAUAUUACUGGAUUCUUGUAACACAUGAAAGAGACGGAUUAGUACUUGUUUAUGACGACGAUGUUGUGAAAGUUACAAAGAUGGAAAUGUGUUCUUUGAUACCUCGGCAAUUGAUU